This 403-nucleotide ribosomal RNA is filed under the name uncultured bacterium. Its description in RNAcentral is "bacterial SSU rRNA". It matches the Rfam family "Bacterial small subunit ribosomal RNA", at positions 361 to 776 of the family's 1533-position model. The record is from RNAcentral.
AUAUUGCACAAUGGGCGCAAGCCUGAUGCAGCGACGCCGCGUGAGGGAUGACGGCUUUCGGGUUGUAAACCUCUUUCGGCAGGGAAGAAGCGCAAGUGACGGUACCUGCAGAAGAAGCGCCGGCUAACUACGUGCCAGCAGCCGCGGUAAUACGUAGGGCGCAAGCGUUGUCCGGAAUUAUUGGGCGUAAAGAGCUCGUAGGCGGUCAGUCGCGUCUGCUGGGAAAACUCGAGGCUCAACCUCGGGCUUGCAGUGGGUACGGGCUGACUAGAGUGCGGUAGGGGUGACUGGAAUUCCUGGUGUAGCGGUGGAAUGCGCAGAUAUCAGGAGGAACACCGAUGGCGAAGGCAGGUCACUGGGCCGCAACUGACGCUGAGGAGCGAAAGCAUGGGGAGCGAACAGG